This is a non-coding RNA of Cinara cedri, 94 nucleotides long. NCBI's taxonomy places the organism in Eukaryota, Metazoa, Arthropoda, Insecta, Hemiptera, Aphididae. The record is from the annotation of a GenBank genome assembly.
CGCGCGCGUGUGCGUGUGUGUGUGUGUGUGUGUGUAUUAUGUGCCUAACCUCUCUAUUCCCGCGUGUUUACACACACGCACACACGCGCGCGCA